RNAcentral lists this ribosomal RNA (494 nucleotides) under uncultured Lachnospiraceae bacterium. RNAcentral's name for it is "bacterial SSU rRNA". It matches the Rfam family "Bacterial small subunit ribosomal RNA", at positions 35 to 507 of the family's 1533-position model. Lineage: Bacteria; Bacillati; Bacillota; Clostridia; Lachnospirales; Lachnospiraceae. The record is from RNAcentral.
CGUACUAGGGAAUGAAACGGCUGGCGGCGUGCUUAACACAUGCAAGUCGACGAGUCAUCAUUUUGAGCAUUAGCUUGCUAAGAGUGGAAUGUUGAUGACUUAGUGGCGGACGGGUGAGUAACGACGUGGGUAACCUGCCAUAUACAGGGGGAUAACACUUAGAAUAGGUGCUAAUACGCAUAAGCGCACAGUAUUGCAUGAGACAGUGUGAAAACUACGGUGGUAUAUGAUGGACCCGCGUCUGAUUAGCUGGUUGUGGGGUAACGGCCACCAAGGCGACGAUCAGUAGCCGGCCUGAGAGGGUGGACGGCCGCAUUGGGACUGAGACACGGCCCAAACUCCUACGGGAGGCAGCAGUGGGGAAUAUUGGACAAUGGGGGAAACCCUGAUCCAGCGACGCCGCGUGAGUGAAGAAGUAUUUCGGUAUGUAAAGCUCUAUCAGCAGGGAAGAAAAAAUGACGGUACCUGACUAAGAAGCCCCGGCUAACUACGUG